RNAcentral lists this ribosomal RNA (1073 nucleotides) under Alkalimonas sp. RNAcentral's name for it is "bacterial SSU rRNA". It matches the Rfam family "Bacterial small subunit ribosomal RNA", at positions 34 to 1098 of the family's 1533-position model. Lineage: Bacteria; Pseudomonadati; Pseudomonadota; Gammaproteobacteria. The record is from RNAcentral.
CGCUGGCGGCAGGCCUAACACAUGCAAGUCGAGCGGUAACAUUUCUAGCUUGCUAGGAGAUGACGAGCGGCGGACGGGUGAGUAAUGCUUGGGGAUCUGCCUGAUGGCGGGGGACAACCACUGGAAACGGUGGCUAAUACCGCAUAAUGUCUACGGACCAAAGUGUGGGACCUUCGGGCCACACGCCAUCAGAUGAACCCAAGUGAGAUUAGCUAGUUGGUGGGGUAAAGGCUCACCAAGGCGACGAUCUCUAGCUGGUUUGAGAGGAUGAUCAGCCACACUGGAACUGAGACACGGUCCAGACUCCUACGGGAGGCAGCAGUGGGGAAUAUUGGACAAUGGGGGCAACCCUGAUCCAGCCAUGCCGCGUGUGUGAAGAAGGCCUUCGGGUUGUAAAGCACUUUCAGCGAGGAGGAAGGGUUGAACGUUAAUAGCGUUCAAUUUUGACGUUACUCGCAGAAGAAGCACCGGCUAACUCUGUGCCAGCAGCCGCGGUAAUACAGAGGGUGCAAGCGUUAAUCGGAAUUACUGGGCGUAAAGCGCACGCAGGCGGUUUGUUAAGUCAGAUGUGAAAUCCCCGGGCUCAACCUGGGAAUUGCAUUUGAAACUGGCAAGCUAGAGUACGAGAGAGGGGGGUAGAAUUCCACGUGUAGCGGUGAAAUGCGUAGAGAUGUGGAGGAAUACCGGUGGCGAAGGCGGCCCCCUGGCUCGAUACUGACGCUCAGGUGCGAAAGCGUGGGGAGCAAACAGGAUUAGAUACCCUGGUAGUCCACGCCGUAAACGAUGUCUACUAGCUGUUCGAGGUCUUGUACUUUGGGUAGCGCAGCUAACGCAUUAAGUAGACCGCCUGGGGAGUACGGUCGCAAGAUUAAAACUCAAAUGAAUUGACGGGGGCCCGCACAAGCGGUGGAGCAUGUGGUUUAAUUCGACGCAACGCGAAGAACCUUACCUACUCUUGACAUCUAGCGAACUUAGCAGAGAUGCUUUGGUGCCUUCGGGAACGCUAAGACAGGUGCUGCAUGGCUGUCGUCAGCUCGUGUUGUGAAAUGUUGGGUUAAGUCCCGCAACGAGCG